AUGUUCUUGAAAUUUAAAGAAUUUGGCGGUAGUUUAGUCUUGUCAGAGGAACCUGUUUUUUAAUCGAUAAUCCACGAAAUAUCUUACUUAUAAAAAAUUAGUUUGUAUAUCAUCAUUAUUAGAUAAUUUUAAAAGAGAGAAUUAUUAAAAUUAUUUUAUAAUAAAAAAAUUAGAUCAAGGUACAGCUUAUGUAUAAGUUUAAAUGGGUUACAAUAAAAUUUAUUUUAUGUGGAUUUAUAAAUUAAAUAUUGUAAUGAAAAAGGAUUUGAUUGUAAUUGAAAUUUAAUAAGGUUUAAAGAUAUAUGCUCUAAAUUAUGUACACAUCGCCC
RNAcentral lists this ribosomal RNA (329 nucleotides) under Dilocarcinus laevifrons. Its description in RNAcentral is "partial 12S ribosomal RNA". Lineage: Eukaryota; Metazoa; Arthropoda; Malacostraca; Decapoda; Trichodactylidae. The record is from RNAcentral.